RNAcentral lists this long non-coding RNA (1230 nucleotides) under Anser brachyrhynchus (Pink-footed goose). RNAcentral's name for it is "lncRNA (ENSABRG00000012017.1)". Lineage: Eukaryota; Metazoa; Chordata; Aves; Anseriformes; Anatidae. The record is from RNAcentral.
AUGGUCCUUGCAAAUCUUUGUGUCAUGGUCUUUGCAUCUUGGUCUUUGCAUCUUGGUCUUUGCAAAUCCUUUCCAUCUCCUUGCAUCCUACUCCUUGCAUCCUGCUCUUUGCAUCUUGGUCUUUGCAUCGUGGUCUUUGCAAAUCUUUCCUUCGUCCUCUUUGCAUCUUGGUCUUUGCAUCAUGGUCUUUGCAAAUCCUUUGCAUCCUUCUCUUUGCACCACGGUCUUUGGAAACUCUUCCGCCUUGGUCUUCGCACCGUGGUCUUCGCACCUUGGUCUUUGCAACUCCUUUCCACCCCCUCGCAUCCUGCCCCUUGCAUCGUGCUCUUUCCAUCAUGGUCUUUGCAAGUCCUUUGCGUCUCGGUCGUUGCUUCUUGGUCUUCCCACCACCCCCUUCGCAAAUCCCUUGCACCUCUUUGCAGGAAGGUCCUUGCGUCGCGCUCUUUCCAAACCCUUCGCUUCGUGCUCUUUGCAUCAUGGUCCUUGCAAAUCCUUUGCACCUUGCUCUUUGCAAAUCCUUUGCACCUUGCUCUUUGCAAAUCCUUUGCACCUUGCUCUUUGCACCGUCCUCUUUGCAGGUCCUCCGCUUCGUGCUCCUCGCAGACCCUUCGCAUCCCUCGCACCGCGCUCUUCGUUCCCGCAGCGCCCUCUGCAACUCCUGCAGCCUCCGCCUUCCGCAGCCUCCUCGUCCCCUUGCAUCCUCCUCGUCCUCGUGUCCUCCUCAUCUUCCCCUGUCCUCGUUUUCUUGCAUCCUCCUCGUCCUCGUGUCCUCCUCGUCCUCGUGUCCUCCUCGUCCUCGUGUCCUCCUCGUCCUCGUGUCCUCCUCGUCCUCGUGUCCUCCUCCUCUUUGUGUCCUCCUCUUCUUCGUGUCCUCCUCAUCCUCAUGUCCUCCUCCUCUUCGUGUCCUCCUCGUCCUCGUGUCCUCGUCAUCUUCGUGUCCUCCUCCUCCUCCUGUCCUCGUCAUCUUUGUGUCCUCCUCGUCCUUGUGUCCUCCUCAUCUUCGUGUCCUCAAUUUCUUGUGUCCUCCUCAUCCUCGUGUCCUCCUCUUCCUUGUGUCCUCCUCCUCUUCAUGUCCUCAUCCUAGUGUCAUCCUCAUCCUCGUGUCCUCCUCGUCCUCGUGUCCUCCUCCUCCUCGUGUCCUCCUCCUCCUCGUGUCCUCCUCUUCCUCGUGUCCUCCUCUUCCUCGUGUCCUCCUCUUCGUGUCCUCCUCCUCCUCCUCGUGUCCUCCUC